AGAAGGCUCAUUAUGAGGGUCCUAUCUCCACACCAAAGGAGAAUGUCCUGGCAUAGAGGAUCUGUUAGAUGGAGUGUCUAAUAAAACAGGCCUCCAGGUGGCCCCUAGACCCCAGGCUUUCAAUAGUCAUAAAACACAUUCUGCUGACAUCAAGGGUUCAAGAGCAGUGCACAUCUGGCCUACAUCUGUGCAUCCUGACAACAGAACCAACUUCCGAAAGGCCUGACCAGAUGUCUACGAGGCCCCCACAGCUUAGCAAGAAGCUCAUGAUUCUGAUUCUAGACUAAAGAUCUCUGGUAUGUUCCAGAAAUGUAAGACUUCUGUGACCUUCUUUUAUCUUAAGAAGCAAGCUUUGAUAUUUUUACUACAUAAUAAACACAAAAAGGUCUUUUAAUUUUAGACAGAUGCAAGAUAGUAUGUCCCAUGGCCUCUGUUGCUUUGUUUAGUAACAAAAUUCAAACCAGGGAUACCAAAGGAAUUUUCCAGAGUCUAAAAAGCACUUACUGGCAAGUCACAGACUGUCACGUAAAUCAUUCCUCCCCCAAAUAGCUUUAGUUUUGUUUGCACCAGAUACUAUAAGUAUGACCUUCUUCAUGAAAAGCUCGUCCUAAGAUCUUUAAAGAUACUCUAUGGUCUCACAGACUUCAGAAAAGAUCACUUCACAGCCAUACUUUAGGAGACAGCCAGUGGAUACAAUGUAAGGUACUGGCUCUAUCUGGGAAUCUGUGUCUCUUUACUCAUCUGUCAAAUGCUUAUCAGCUCUGAAUUGUGCCCCAGAAAGGAUCAUUUCUAUUAUUUUUCCCAAUUUUACCUACCUAUCACAGUUUACAAAUAAGUCAAAGCAUGUUUCUCCACUUUUCAUUGAAGAAAAAUUUAUAUGAUCAAUAGCCAGAGCUGCUGAACCCAAGAGCAGAAGAGCCUGAAUACUGACAGCAAAGACCCCUUGUUGCUAUCUGGCUUGUGGGUCAUUACCAUCCAAAGGUAGAGAGGUAUAGCUUUCAUUGGGUUUUUGAAAAGACAUUGGUCUGCAGGGCUCUUGUUCCAUAGACCCUUCCUAAGUUCCCUUUAGAUAUUAAGACCCUGAGGCUCAACUGCCUAUCUUUUCCUGAACCAGUCUUUGCCCUCUCUAAGCUUAAAGGAAUAUAAAAUUAAGAUGCAGGACUUGGGCAUUUCUUCAAAGCUCUGUGAGUGGCCUCGCAAAUCCAGCUGCUGGCAGAUGGUAGGAUGACAGUGAUACAUAUUCACAGCAACUGUAGAUGCCUUCCCAAGGCAGCUCCAGAUGUCACAGACACACUGCUUAUGCUCCAAUGGCUGGCCCACCUGUCUGAACAUCAUGCUCAUUUUUCAACACGAAGGAGCCAAGGGCUACCCAUCUUUCUAAUACUGUCAGAGGGACUCCAAAGAGAAGGAGUGCUACGUGACCCUAGGCUCAUCCCUCAACUAAAGCCAAGCCCCCAAAGGCCAAAUGCCUGUCCAUUUUGGUCUCAGGGUGAUUAUUCUCAUUCAACUGGGAGGGCCAAGCAUAAAGGCACUGAAGGAGACUACAGUGAGCUUUCUAGAACCUAAAAUAUGCUUGGAGAGUUCAAAAAAAAAACCACGUAGCUCUAAGCACCUCUUUAUAUACAUGAGAAAAAUGAAACCAGUUAGGAAUAUAGCUCCAUGGCCCUAGGUUCAAUUCUCAGAAUGAGAAAAGAGAGGAGUGAGGGAGGGAGGGGAGAGAGGGGAUGAGAAGGCAGAAAAAGGCUGUAACUAAGUCUUCCGAGCUUAUCUGACCAUAAUGCUCCACCAAAUAAAUGAGAAUUUUCUUUUCAAACCCACUCAGAGUUAAGGCCAGAUUACCAUUUGAUUCAUCAGAUCAGAUAAAGGCUUCUUUAAACAAGCUGCUCUGUAUUGGAUGUUGGACCUCCUCAACUGCCUAUGUAUCCUCCAAAUGCCUACUGGCCAACAAGGACCAUUCUGAGCUAUGGGAGAUAGGUGCUGACUCUAUGUCCCCAGUCAAAAACGGAAACAAUAAAAUCUGGAUGCUUCUGACAACAUUGGGCUCAUGACCUGAUUACAGCUUAAGACAAGAAUCAUGAGGUGUCCUGAAAGCCUCAGUCUGUCAUGAGGUUUUAUCCAUCAGGAAAUGCUAAACUGUCAAAAAAAAAAAAAAAAAAAAAAAAAAA
This is a long non-coding RNA of Nannospalax galili (Upper Galilee mountains blind mole rat), 2165 nucleotides long. RefSeq lists it as uncharacterized. Lineage: Eukaryota; Metazoa; Chordata; Mammalia; Rodentia; Spalacidae. The transcript has 2 exons. The record is from RefSeq and is a predicted model, not a curated record.